RNAcentral lists this unclassified non-coding RNA (258 nucleotides) under Hevea brasiliensis (rubber tree). The record is from RNAcentral. Lineage: Eukaryota; Viridiplantae; Streptophyta; Magnoliopsida; Malpighiales; Euphorbiaceae.
UAAAAAUUUAAAGGUGGUCCAUGCAACAGACACAAGGCCCCUUAUCUUCUUGCCGAAAGAAAUUUGUUUAUAUCUAAUGUGAAGGGAACUGGGUCAUAUAUUAAGUGCGGUGGAUUUUUUUUUUUUUUUUUUUUUUUUUUUUGGGUUUUCACGUGAAUAAAAAUCUCACUUCCUUCCAGUACUAAUGAUUUUGUCUUCACUAAAAUUGAUGUUGAUUUUGUCUUCAAUAAUUAAAAAUAAAAAAGAACUGUUGCAUUA